CAGACAGAAGCCCGCUGGAUUGGGUGUUUAGCUGUUAAUUAAUUUUUUGUGGGAUCGAGGCCCGCCUGUCUAG
Molecule: transfer RNA, 73 nt
Filed under: Sceloporus grammicus (Graphic spiny lizard)
Lineage: Eukaryota; Metazoa; Chordata; Lepidosauria; Squamata; Phrynosomatidae
Also listed under: 2 other names
Description: tRNA-Asx
Source: RNAcentral